RNAcentral lists this ribosomal RNA (612 nucleotides) under uncultured Lachnospiraceae bacterium. Its description in RNAcentral is "bacterial SSU rRNA". It matches the Rfam family "Bacterial small subunit ribosomal RNA", at positions 90 to 718 of the family's 1533-position model. The record is from RNAcentral. Lineage: Bacteria; Bacillati; Bacillota; Clostridia; Lachnospirales; Lachnospiraceae.
ACUUAGUGGCGGACGGGUGAGUAACGCGUGGGUAACCUGCCCUGUACAGGGGGACAACAGCUGGAAACGGCUGCUAAUACCGCAUAAGCCCUUAGCACUGCAUGGUGCAUAGGGAAAAGGAGUAAUCCGGUACAGGAUGGACCCGCGUCUGAUUAGCCAGUUGGCAGGGUAACGGCCUACCAAAGCGACGAUCAGUAGCCGAUCUGAGAGGAUGUACGGCCACAUUGGGACUGAGACACGGCCCAGACUCCUACGGAAGGCAGCAGUGGGGAAUAUUGCACAAUGGAGGAAACUCUGAUGCAGCGACGCCGCGUGAGUGAAGAAGUAUUUCGGUAUGUAAAGCUCUAUCAGCAGGGAAGAAAAUGACGGUACCUGACUAAGAAGCACCGGCUAAAUACGUGCCAGCAGCCGCGGUAAUACGUAUGGUGCAAGCGUUAUCCGGAUUUACUGGGUGUAAAGGGAGCGUAGGUGGCAAGGCAAGCCAGAAGUGAAAACCCGGGGCUCAACCGCGGGAUUGCUUUUGGAACUGUCAUGCUAGAGUGCAGGAGGGGUGAGCGGAAUUCCUAGUGUAGCGGUGAAAUGCGUAGAUAUUAGGAGGAACACCGGAGGCGA